This 482-nucleotide ribosomal RNA is filed under the name uncultured bacterium. RNAcentral describes it as "partial 16S ribosomal RNA". It matches the Rfam family "Bacterial small subunit ribosomal RNA", at positions 30 to 505 of the family's 1533-position model. The record is from RNAcentral.
AUUGAACGCUGGCGGCAGGCCUAACACAUGCAAGUCGAGCGGAUGAAGGGAGCUUGCUCCUGGAUUCAGCGGCGGACGGGUGAGUAAUGCCUAGGAAUCUGCCUGGUAGUGGGGGAUAACGUCCGGAAACGGGCGCUAAUACCGCAUACGUCCUGAGGGAGAAAGUGGGGGAUCUUCGGACCUCACGCUAUCAGAUGAGCCUAGGUCGGAUUAGCUAGUUGGUGGGGUAAAGGCCUACCAAGGCGACGAUCCGUAACUGGUCUGAGAGGAUGAUCAGUCACACUGGAACUGAGACACGGUCCAGACUCCGACGGGAGGCAGCAGUGGGGAAUAUUGGACAAUGGGCGAAAGCCUGAUCCAGCCAUGCCGCGUGUGUGAAGAAGGUCUUCGGAUUGUAAAGCACUUUAAGUUGGGAGGAAGGGCAGUAAGUUAAUACCUUGCUGUUGUGACGUUACCAACAGAAUAAGCACCGGCUAACUUCG